Long non-coding RNA from Perognathus longimembris pacificus (Pacific pocket mouse), 3600 nucleotides. RefSeq lists it as uncharacterized. The transcript has 3 exons. Lineage: Eukaryota; Metazoa; Chordata; Mammalia; Rodentia; Heteromyidae. The record is from RefSeq and is a predicted model, not a curated record.
UUAACCACCAAAAAAGCCAGAUGUAGAGCAGAAGAGCUGCUAGAACGCCAGCCUUGAGGUUAAAAAAAAAAAAAAAAAGCUGAGAUAGUACCCAAACUCUGAGUUCAAAUCCUAGUCCUUGGGGGGCGGGGUGGGAAUCACCUCUCUAUCUCUUAUCCCUACUACUUAGAGAACUAAAAGAUUAUAGACAAACUAGAGUUCUAACUACAGACAAAUGGCUCAAGUAAUUGCAACAUGUCUAUAUAACACAAUCAAGUUAAAUUUUUCAGUGGGUUUUACAGAUAUGCAUGUGUGUGUGCAUUUGUACGUGUGUGUACACAUUCUCAAGGGUGUGGGCCUAACACUAAUCCUGGAAGGAAACAUAGUAAGUAAUAACAGUGGCUAUCACAGACAACAGAUGGGGAAAGUAGAGAAAAUGACACAUUUUCAUUUCCUAUUUUUCUGUAAGAUAAAAACAUGAUCUUCUGAAUUGCUUUGAAAACUGCAAAGGUGCUGUUGAAGAGCAAGCUGGCUUGCUCUGUGCUGUUUUGACACAAUCUCUCAGACAGAUCAGCAGUGUAAGUGCAGGGUGUGUGCUAAGGUGCUGGCGCAGAGAGCUGAGACCCUGUCAUGUCUGUUAUGCUUCCCGAGCCCACAGCAGUGAAACCCAAGGUUCAGAUACAAGGGCCAGGGGGUGCAGGCCAGCCCUGGACCCUGGUACCCCACAACAGGAAUGAGGCUACCAAUUAAAAAAUAUUUUUAAAUGCUAGAUCUUCCAGAGUACACUGUUUAAAAAGCUCUAUGCUCUUUAAUGAAAAGCAGUCCAGGACUGCAAAUGUCCAGUGUGGUCCCUGACAGUAUCAUGCAACCUCCAUGUGUCACAUGGCUAGAGCGAACACAGGGGAAGAAGAAAGUACACUGGUGCACACAGAAAACUCAUAGGAGUUUGACUUACUUACCUUGCACUUCUCUGCACUGAGUAAUGAUGAACAAGUAUGUGCCAAUCUAAGUAUGUACCAUAUUAUGAGGCAAAGCAAGUAUUCCUUCUACAUCACCUUUCCAAUCUGUGCACAGCCCUAAGACACAGAAACCCAGAGAGACCAAGCUCACAGACACAUGAAGCGGGAGAGGACGAAGCUGGGGCUCUGGAGCCACACGCCCUUCCCCCAAGACACCACUAUGCCGGUGCAUGCGCACACUGAGUCCACUGCACACAGUCAGGAUUCAGGCUCCCUCUCACAGGGGUGGAAGGUGGCCCCCCUGCUCCUCACCUCCACACCUGGUUUGGAGAUGGUGAGGACCAAGUGCCCAACCACAGGCUGUCGGGACACCAUGCCACUUCCUCUUUGUCAGCCUCCCUCCCAGCAGGAAGUGAACAGAGCUUGCCCCUCAGAGCUGCCCUCUGGUGCAGCUCUGACUGCAUAGCACCCCAAAGGGCAGAGGUGAGAGCGAGGAAGACAAGUGAAGGAAGAUAGGUGGACUUUAUAAGGAUGGCACCACCAUGCUGUUGUGAGGAGCAAAGAGCUUCUGCAAGGACCCCCCACAGUCCUGAUGGAGAAGCUCCCCUCAGGACUGUGGGGUCAUCUGGCUGGUGAACAGAAGGACCUGGGAGCCAUUAAGUUCCACUAGCUCAAAAACAUGAGCCAGGCUGGUCACCAGGCCAGGCCCCACCCCAUCUGUGUGCUGACCACUGAACUGAGCACUCUCAACUUCUGAAAAUGCAGCUGCUUACAGGGUGCUUCAAUACCCAGUAACAGAACCCACAAAGGGUGCCAAAGACCAUUUGGUUAGUAAGUAACACAGGCCCAGGGUCCAGCUAUGUUCCUUCUCAAUGCAGAAUCCUGUGUUCACCCGCGGGAGGCCCAGCAAUGGGGUAACCCAAGCUCAUAUCCAGAACCGUGACUGGUGGAGGACCUCUGAUAGGGGAGCACUUUCAGAAGGACUCCGGCUCAGAGGCACCAUCCCUGGCCACAUACCUAAACAGACCCCCUGCGGCACCACCCUCCCCAGACAUGUCCCAGUCUGAAACCACCCCACAAUGCAUGUCUAUGAUGGGUCCUUUCCCUGCAAGCUUGGAGAAUAGCUUCCACGUCACCCAGGCAGCGCCUUUCCCCAUUCACAUGGCACCCAGCAGCCGGGGCUAGCACUUGCCACAUUGCAAGUACUGAUUAAAUGAAUGAACCGUAAUAUAAGCUAUCUUUCUACACUGAACUGUCAAUCAAUUCUUAAACUGCAAAUUCAAAAUCUUCAGGCAAGGCGAGAUUAGUUUGGAGAUAAAAAGAACCAAAGAAGCCAAUCUUAUUUUCUCUCUUCUAAUUACAGGGCUCCCAGAUUCACUGUUCAAAGAAGAAAAAAAAAAGCAGAAAGGAGACAGGAUGGGGGCAGCAAACUUCAUCCCAAGCCUGGCACAGCUCCCAGGCCUGCAUGUACCAGAGUCCCUCUCACCAUCCAUUUCCAAACAGCCUUCCUCAAUCACUAAGUGCUCACUGCCCAGCACGGCCACAAUCUCCAUCUCACCAACACUCCUGCUUUCUGCUCUUUUUAUUUUAUUCUGGCAGUACUAGGGAUUGAACACAAGCUCUUACACUCGCUAGGCAGGUAUUCUACCAUGUGAACCAUGCCCCCAUGCUCCUUUUGGAGUUGUGUUUUUCAAGGAAAACUUUUAAGUCUACCUAAGCAGGCCUGGCCACAAUUCUUCUACUCGUGUUUCCCCAAGAUGACAGGCCUGCCACCACUGCGCCAAGCCAUUUGUUGAAACUUCCUGAACUUUUUUGGUCUGGAACCUUGGUUCCCAGAUCUCUACCUCUCAAGUGGCUAGGAUUAUAGAUGUGAGUCACUAUGUCCACAGCUGUUCUCAUUUUUUAAUGAGAAACAAAGUGUGAAGAGGCACGGCUCUUUCUCCCACCCAGCUGGGGUGACUAAGCCAAAGGAGUCCUCAAGUCCCUGCUGAUCUGAUCUGAGAUGUCGGCCUGCACCGUCCUUGCCACCAGGAGGCACCAGACAGGGUCUGGACCUCAUCCAGGGCUCCGUGCUUGUCACUAUUAAUUUGUUUGCUUUACAAAUAUACAAUAAGAGCUUCAGAUGCAAGUGGUUUAAAAAGCAAUCAAGGUCAAGGACUCAUUGCUGAGAGUAAACAACUAGCAGAUAAAAGCUUUGAAGAGUUCUAUGUUACCCUGUGUGCAGCCAAAACCUGGGAAGAUUGUCAGACGUCUAUUCUUUCCCCCAAAGAUUGUGAGGGCCUCAGGGGCAAUAUUUUCAGAACCCAUGACAAUACCAGACAUACCUGAUUGCUCAGCAAAUGUUCCCAGAGGAUGGAUGGAUGUACAGACAUUCAAAUGGAGAGAUGGAUGAAUAUCUAGGCUAAAGGAAGGAAGGGAAGGGAAGGGAGGGAGGAAAGUAAGAAAAUGACUCCAUUUACUAAGAAUGGACACUUACUUUCUCCCUAAGCAUUGGGGCUACUUGGACAACAUACAUACAAAGACAAAUCCACAGGGCCAUUUGCUGCAGCAUCAGUUUCAGAAGUGCAAGCUGAAAACAAGUGAGAAACAAUUACAUAAAACAGGCAGGCAGAGUCGGACUGUUCGUCUACUGAAAGAACCAUGUGUGUCUCUUUGCCCAAAG